AGGACGAACGCUGGCGGCGUGCUUAACACAUGCAAGUCAAGGGGGCCCAGCAAUGGGCAACCGGCGAACGGGUGCGUAACACGUGAGCAACCUACCGAACUGUGGGGGAUAGCCGGCCUAACGGCCGAGUAAUACCGCAUACGCUCUCAGUGAGGCAUUUCAUUGAGAGGAAACCUACGGGACAGAUCGAGGGGCUCGCGGCCUAUCAGCUAGUUGGCGAGGUAACGGCUCACCAAGGCAACGACGGGUAGCUGGUCUGAGAGGAUGGCCAGCCACAUUGGGACUGAGAUACGGCCCAGACUCCUACGGGAGGCAGCAGUGGGGAAUCGUUGCGCAAUGGCCUAAGACUGACGCAGCGACGCCGCGUGUGGAUGAAGCUCUUCGGAGUGUAAACCAUGUUGCCCGGACGAAUAGCUCGAUUAAUCGAGCCUGACGGUACCGGUGAGGAAGCACCGGCUAACUCCGCGCCAGCAGCCGCGGUAA
Molecule: ribosomal RNA, 483 nt
Filed under: uncultured soil bacterium
Lineage: Bacteria
Description: bacterial SSU rRNA
Rfam family: Bacterial small subunit ribosomal RNA
Source: RNAcentral